This 324-nucleotide ribosomal RNA is filed under the name Bacillus sp. (in: firmicutes). Its description in RNAcentral is "bacterial SSU rRNA". It matches the Rfam family "Bacterial small subunit ribosomal RNA", at positions 23 to 335 of the family's 1533-position model. The record is from RNAcentral. Lineage: Bacteria; Bacillati; Bacillota; Bacilli; Caryophanales; Bacillaceae.
CUCAGGACGAACGCUGGCGGCGUGCCUAAUACAUGCAAGUCGAGCGAACAGAGAAGGAGCUUGCUCCUUCGACGUUAGCGGCGGACGGGUGAGUAACACGUGGGCAACCUACCCUAUAGUUUGGGAUAACUCCGGGAAACCGGGGCUAAUACCGAAUAAUUUGUUUCACCUCAUGGUGAAACACUGAAAGACGGUUUCGGCUGUCGCUAUAGGAUGGGCCCGCGGCGCAUUAGCUAGUUGGUGAGGUAACGGCUCACCAAGGCGACGAUGCGUAGCCGACCUGAGAGGGUGAUCGGCCACACUGGGACUGAGACACGGCCCAGA